RNAcentral lists this ribosomal RNA (723 nucleotides) under uncultured Glomeromycotina. RNAcentral's name for it is "SSU rRNA". It matches the Rfam family "Eukaryotic small subunit ribosomal RNA", at positions 373 to 1095 of the family's 1831-position model. The record is from RNAcentral. Lineage: Eukaryota; Fungi; Glomeromycota.
GGGUUCGAUUCCGGAGAGGGAGCCUGAGAAACGGCUACCACNNCCAAGGAAGGCAGCAGGCGCGCAAAUUACCCAAUCCCAAUACGGGGAGGUAGUGACAAUAAAUAACAAUAUGGGGCUCUUACGGGUCUCGUAAUUGGAAUGAGUACAAUUUAAAUCUCUUAACGAGGAACAAUUGGAGGGCAAGUCUGGUGCCAGCAGCCGCGGUAAUUCCAGCUCCAAUAGCGUAUAUUAAAGUUGUUGCAGUUAAAAAGCUCGUAGUUGAAUUUCGGAGUUUGUCGGUUGGUCGGGCUUCACUGUCCGCACUGGCCUGAUGGAUUCCUACCUUCUGAAUAACCAGCAUGCUAUUAAGUUAGUGCGUUGGGGAAGCAGAGCUAUUACCUUGAAAAAAUUAGAGUGCUUAAAGCAGGCUUAUGCUUGAAUAGAUUAGCAUGGAAUAAUAAAAUAGGACGGCAUGGUUCUAUUUUGUUGGUUUCUAGGAUCACCGUAAUGAUUAAUAGGGAUAGUUGGGGGCAUUAGUAUUCAAUUGUCAGAGGUGAAAUUCUUGGAUUUAUUGAAGACUAACUUCUGCGAAAGCAUUUGCCAAGGAUGUUUUCAUUAAUCAAGAACGAAAGUUAGGGGAUCGAAGACGAUCAGAUACCGUCGUAGUCUUAACCAUAAACUAUGCCGACUAGGGAUCGGACGAUGUUAAUUUUUUAAUGACUCGUUCGGCGCCUUACGGGA